UACGGGGGGGGCAAGCGUUGUUCGGAAUUACUGGGCGUAAAGGGCUCGUAGGCGGCCAACUAAGUCAUACGUGAAAUCCCUCGGCUUAACCGGGGAACUGCGUCUGAUACUGGAUGGCUUGAGUACCGGAGAGGAAGGUGGAAUUCCCGGUGUAGCGGUGAAAUGCGUAGAUAUCGGAAGGAACACCAGUGGCGAAAGCGGCUUCCUGGUCCAGCACCGACGUUCAGGCACGAAAGCGUGGGGAGCAAACAGG
RNAcentral lists this ribosomal RNA (253 nucleotides) under uncultured bacterium. RNAcentral's name for it is "partial 16S ribosomal RNA". It matches the Rfam family "Bacterial small subunit ribosomal RNA", at positions 524 to 776 of the family's 1533-position model. The record is from RNAcentral.